UGUAUAAUUUGCACAAAAUGUACUAAUACAUAGAAGCUUUUAAUUCAGUGCAUUAUUUAAAGGGCUCUAAUAAAACAUUCCCAAAAAAAAAAAAUAAUAAGCAAAAUUAAACAACCUCAUUGAGGGAGUAAAUAAAUGAAUGCUUUGCAAUAGCUUUUUUAUUCAAAUGGAAAGUUUGUAAUAUAUAUAUAUUUAUGUAUACAUGUUUAUGUAUACAUAUUUAUGAGCAUUUUUGCAACUGCAUAACUUUUUUUUUUUUUACGUCUUUACUUUUGUAAUAUCAUCACUAAUUGCUUUUUUUUUUUUUUUUUUUUAAAUCAUUACAAAAAAAUUCAAUGUUUCGGAUAAAAAUAUUUAUCCGUUGAGACUGAUUAAGUAAAAAAAAAAAUAAAAAUAAAUAAAUAAAUAAUUACAUAUAUAAACAUCAUACAUUAAACACAAUCAUGUAUGCCUUUUUUUAAGUAAUAACGUACACUUUUACAAUCAUUUUCAACAGCUUAAUUCAUUGUGAAUUAAAAAUUAUUAAAACAAUAUAACAAUUUUGCUUUAAAUAAAUCUGGUAAAAAAUAAGAUAAGUAAGCUUCAUAAAAAAAAAAUAAAAUGUUAAUUAUAAAAAUGCAAGAAAAUAAGAGUGAAUUAUUGUUUCAAGAAGAAAAUUGCAAAUGCGAAACUGAAAGUGACGAUAGUAGUUUAGAAAUACAACAAAUAUAUAAAAAAAUAAAUGUGGAGGAAGGUAAAAGAGGUAGGAUAGUAAGAAUACUUUCUGAAUUUAUACAAGUUCAAAAUAUAUUGAGAGAUGAAAAUAUAUUUUUUACUGUUGUCAUGUUUGGAUCAGCCAGAUCGUACAGUCAUGAGAGUUAUGAAUGUCGAAAAAACGAACUUGAAAAUAGGUUAAACGAAAUUAAUGAAAAAAUCAAAAAAAAUAUAACAUUAGUGAACGAAGAAAUAAAAGAAUAUGAAAAGUUACAAAAAGAUUUUGAAGCAUUAAAAAAAUUAAAAUGGACUACUAAAUAUUAUAAUCAAAUUUAUGAACUUUCAAAAAAGUUAACUUUAUUUUUUGCAACAGAAGAAGGAAAGCAGGCAGUGAAUAAUUUAUCUAUAUUAUUACCUAGGAAUCGGAAUUAUAUAAAAACUAAACAUAUGGGAACAUAUAGGAGUGGAGGUCCAGGUUUUAUGGAAGCAGCAAAUAAAGGAAGUAAAGACGCAAACGGAAAAUCUUUAGGUUUUAUGAUAUCAUUACCAUAUGAAAAAGAAGGUAAUAAAUAUAUUGAUAAAAAAUUAUCAUUUAAAUUUCAUUAUUUUUUUACUAGGAAAUUUUGGUUAAUUUAUUUAUCAUUAGCAUUUAUUAUUUUCCCUGGUGGUUU
This 1364-nucleotide long non-coding RNA is filed under the name Piliocolobus tephrosceles (Ugandan red Colobus). Its description in RNAcentral is "lncRNA (ENSPTEG00000002759.1)". Lineage: Eukaryota; Metazoa; Chordata; Mammalia; Primates; Cercopithecidae. The record is from RNAcentral.